UACGGUCUAUGGACAGGGUAUUUAUGGGUAAAAUAUCAACAUUUUGUCCCGUAAAUUGGAACAAGUUAAAAAAUUCGUAUCACUAUGAAAUUAUGUAGACAAGCAGGGGACAACAUAUAUUUUACGACGCGAAGUCUGCAAAUUUCACGAAGGGUUCGAGGGAUACAUGCGGCCAGAGCAAAAUGUACGUUUUCAACGAUUUUCUCAAGUUUUAUUAUACUUUAUUAUACGCCGAUGUACUAUGAAGUGAACUUGAAUAAUGGAACAACUUAUAGGUAAGAUUUCGAUGCGAAACUUCUCUGUUUUAUGGUCCAGAUAUAAUUUAUAAUAUUGCAAAGUCUGCAAAUGACAUAGCUAUUAUCAAACACGUUUAAAUUGAAAAAAACCGCGCCACUCCUAAUGAUUUAUAUAUAACAAAUCCGCCAUUUUGUUUGUGAAAGUUCGCACAUGCUCAGAAUCCAUGUCCGCAAUUUCUGGCCAUGAUAG
Paramuricea clavata is the source of this 486-nucleotide non-coding RNA. Lineage: Eukaryota; Metazoa; Cnidaria; Anthozoa; Malacalcyonacea; Plexauridae. The record is from the annotation of a GenBank genome assembly.